RNAcentral lists this ribosomal RNA (254 nucleotides) under uncultured bacterium. RNAcentral's name for it is "partial 16S ribosomal RNA". It matches the Rfam family "Bacterial small subunit ribosomal RNA", at positions 524 to 776 of the family's 1533-position model. The record is from RNAcentral.
UACAGAGACUGCAAGCGUUUAUUCGGAUUCACUGGGCGUAAAGGGUGCGCAGGCGGCCAAGUGUGUGAGGCGUGAAAGCCUGGGGCUUAACUCCAGAAUUGCACCUCAAACUACUUGGCUAGAGCAUUGGAGAGGGUAGCAGAAUUCAUGGUGUAGCAGUGAAAUGCGUAGAUAUCAUGAGGAAUACCAGAGGCGAAGGCGGCUACCUGGACAAUUGCUGACGCUCAGGCACGAAAGCGUGGGGAGCAAAAGGG